This 224-nucleotide ribosomal RNA is filed under the name uncultured bacterium. RNAcentral describes it as "partial 16S ribosomal RNA". It matches the Rfam family "Bacterial small subunit ribosomal RNA", at positions 355 to 596 of the family's 1533-position model. The record is from RNAcentral.
UGGGGAAUAUUGCACAAUGGGCGAAAGCCUGAUGCAGCAACGCCGCGUGAGUGAUGAAGGUCUUCGGAUUGUAAAGCUCUGUCUUUUGGGACGAUAAUGACGGUACCAAAGGAGGAAGCCACGGCUAACUACGUGCCAGCAGCCGCGGUAAUACGUAGGUGGCGAGCGUUGUCCGGAUUUACUGGGCGUAAAGGGUGCGUAGGCGGAUGUUUAAGUGAGAUGUG